This 76-nucleotide transfer RNA is filed under the name [Eubacterium] nodatum. RNAcentral's name for it is "tRNA-Lys(ctt)". It matches the Rfam family "tRNA". Rfam says of the family: Transfer RNA (tRNA) molecules are approximately 80 nucleotides in length. Their secondary structure includes four short double-helical elements and three loops (D, anti-codon, and T loops). Further hydrogen bonds mediate the characteristic L-shaped molecular structure. tRNAs have two regions of fundamental functional importance: the anti-codon, which is responsible for specific mRNA codon recognition, and the 3' end, to which the tRNAs corresponding amino acid is attached (by aminoacyl-tRNA synthetases). tRNAs cope with the degeneracy of the genetic code in two manners: having more than one tRNA (with a specific anti-codon) for a particular amino acid; and 'wobble' base-pairing, i.e. permitting non-standard base-pairing at the 3rd anti-codon position. Lineage: Bacteria; Bacillati; Bacillota; Clostridia; Peptostreptococcales; Anaerovoracaceae. RNAcentral also lists the same sequence under 21 other names. The record is from RNAcentral.
GCACCAUUAGCUCAGCUGGCAGAGCACCUGACUCUUAAUCAGGGUGUCCAGGGUUCGAACCCCUGAUGGUGUACCA